Molecule: ribosomal RNA, 484 nt
Filed under: uncultured bacterium
Lineage: Bacteria
Description: partial 16S ribosomal RNA
Rfam family: Bacterial small subunit ribosomal RNA
Source: RNAcentral
GAUGAACGCUGGCGGCGUGCUUAACACAUGCAAGUCGAACGGUGAAGCAGGAGCUUGCUCUUGUGGAUCAGUGGCGAACGGGUGAGUAACACGUGAGCAACCUGCCCCUGACUCUGGGAUAAGCGCUGGAAACGGCGUCUAAUACUGGAUAUGUGAUGUGACCGCACGGUCUGCAUCUGGAAAGAAUUUCGGUUGGGGAUGGGCUCGCGGCCUAUCAGCUUGUUGGUGAGGUAAUGGCUCACCAAGGCGUCGCCGGGUUGCCGGCCUGCGAGGGUAACCGGCCACACUGAGACUGAGACACGGGCCAGACGCCUACGGGAGGCNACAGUGGGGAAUAUUGCACAAUGGGCGGAAGCCUGAUGCAGCAACGCCGCGUGAGGGAUGACGGACUUCGGGUUGUAAACCUAUUUUAGCAGGGAAGNAGCGAAAGUGACGGUACCUGCAGAAAAAGCACCGGCUAACUACGUGCCAGCAGCCGCCGUAA